UCCAUUAAAGCUUGUUUACAGUGUUCUGUCAGUUUUCUACUAUACAGCAAGGUGACCCAGCCACACUAAUUUUUUUUUUUAGUAAACAAUUUCAUAUUUUUAAUUAUAUAACCAAUUUUAAUUACAGGAAAUGUAAUGGUUUCUUUAUUGACUUAUUUUGCUAGGGCUGUUCAGCUCUCAAUGGGGCAAAUUAUCAUAAAGGUUCUAACGUGAUCAACCUCAGUCAGACCUUGAUGCCCCAGCAGGGGUGUACCUACAUUGAGAAGAGUCGAACAUACAAUCUUAAAGGACAACCAGAUGUCAGAGUCUGAAAAUAUCAGGGCAAGUUUUGUAUAAUUCAUUGGCCUCAGACAAAGACCACUAGAAGUUAUUCUUUGAAAACUUUCUCAGAAAAAUAAAUAAAUAAAUAAAUUUGACCCAAGGUCAUAUGUUCUUUGUUUUCAGUUACUUUAGGGACAAUUUCUAAGAUUAAUGAUAGAAUCAUUUGAUUCAAUUUGAAAAUGAUGUUUUUCUUCCUUUCUAAAUAGCGUAUAUUCUCACUGUGAAUAUCCAAAUAUAAUUUCAUUGGUUUUCCCCUGGCAUCAAUGGUAGUUCAGAGAAAGAGAAGUUACAUAAGUGAUAUAAUAAAUUAUAUAAAAUGUUGCCACAUAAAUCCCAUAGCAGUUACUUUUCUAAAUGUUCAAAUAAAUGAUGUAGAAAAAGUGGAUUAUUAUGGUUGAAUGAUACUGAUUUGCCUCUGUCUAAAUAAGAACUAUUAAUCAUUAGGGAAUAUUAGCAAACUCUUUGUCAAAACAUUAUUUACAUACGUAAUUAAAAUUUGAAAAUGAAAACAUUCCAAGCAAGAUGACAUUAUGAUUAAGUCUGAAUUUCAUUCUAAUUUUUCUUUCUUUUCAUUUAUUUUUUUAGUCAGAUGAUUCAGAAAUAAGAUUUGCAGAACAGUCCUACUUCACAGAAACACAUUUACUUUUAGAUGAAUCACGACGGUGGUCUCAAGAUUGGCAUUGGUAUUGGUGUUUCUUAGUUAAUUAUUCUUUUAUUACAUGGAUUAAAAAAUCAGUCCAAGUUAAUAUUUCAAAGCCAUUACUUCUAAAAAUGUUUUCGUAAUUAGUGAAUUUCAAAUCUGUUGAUAGUGACAUUGCCCAUAGACUGAAGAGCCAUUAACUAAAGCACUUUUCAGAUGGGCUUCAUGUGACAACUACAUUAUUUUCCUAAUUAUUUGGAAAGAUAAGGACAGAGAGUUUUCCAGGAUAGUGUCACAAUUCAUUAAAUGACAUUUAGCAUGAAAUCUUGGUUAAAGACUAAAACCUGGCAAUUUCUAUAGCAUUGCCAUUCUAGAAAUAAUAUUUUGUCUCCUGUUCCUUGAAGAUAUUUCCCAAUUGCUACUUUUAUAAAUGAACUGUUCCCCUGUUAAAUACUUUCACCUAGAGAAAGAGAAUAGGUAAAAAGGGAAUGUAUUCCACAGCUGAGGUGUCCUUCUAUCCUUUGAGAUGAAACCAAUGAGGACACAUAAGUUAAUACAAGACAUCUGACUGUAUGUUCUCAUCUUAUAAGAAAUGAAAUAAUAUUAAAACAAAGUAUGGUUCCAAAAAACCAUAAAAGGCUUUUUCCCCCUUUUCACGGCUGUACCUGUGACAUAUGGAAGUUCCCAGUCUAGGGGUCAAAUUGGAGUUGCAGCUGCUGGCCUACACCACAGCCACAGCAACUCAGGAUCUGAGCCAUAUCUGCAUCUUACACCCCUGCAGCUAGAAGCAACACGGGAUCCUUAACACAAUGAGUAAGGCCAGGGGCCAAACCUGCAUCCUCAUGGAUACUAUGUUGGGUUCUUAACCUGCUGAGCCACAGUGGGAACUCCAGAAAAGGCUUUCUUAAUGAGAAAAUGUCUGUCCCAAAGUCCAUGCCCCUCUAUUCAUAAGAGAAUCCCUUACCCAGAGACUAUUAGUUUAAAAUUGUAUGCAAAAUAAUUUCAGUGGCUAAACAUUUGGUUUCUUUUAGUAUCAUGUGGUUCUUCCCAUGGCAAAGAAAAAACAACCUGACAGUGUUACAGGAGCAGAAAGAAGUAUUCACUUACUAGUGGGAAAAUGGACAGAGAUUCAGAGGACAUAGCUCAGUCUGUUCCCGCUGGGAGCCCACAAUCAGAAAGCUAUCAGGAAGGCAUCCUGAAAAGUUACACCUGAGACAGGUUUAGGAACACAGACUAAAAUUUUUCCAAGAGAGAGAGCAGAACAAGGGCAUUCUGGGAUGAGAGAAGAAUAUGAUAUAUUUAGGGACUGACAGCCCAUUAGAAAAUGUUGACGAAUAAAGUGUUUUUGGGGAAUGGAGAAAGAUGAGCCUAAAAAGGAAGCAAGGGGCGAUCACUGAAGAAUCUGAUAUGUCAAGCUAAGAAAUUUGACUACAUCCAAUCAGGAAUGAGAAGCCAUUUAGGUGCUUUAAAUAGAGGAGUGUCGUGAUUUUGCUUCAGAAAGAUUUUGUAGACGACAGGAUGGAAAACGUAUCAAGGAAGGCAGGGACCAGGUGCGGGGAACUUGGAUUUAGGCGUGAGUAAUGAGCAAGGGAAGAUGGCCCUGAGAGAGUAAUGAGCAGGAGUAGACGUUUAUUGACACUGCAUGUGAAGGGGUUGGGGAAAAGGAAGGGUCUCGUGGAAAACACAAGUGUUUGAUUGAAGUAUCGGGAUGGGUUGUGGUAGCACUGACUAAGAAAGGGAGUUGAGGAGGAAGAAAGAGUUGUGAGAGAGACUGAUGAGUUUUCUUUGAUUGACUUUAAGUGCUUAGGAGAUCUGCAUGGAGAGGCAUCCAAAAGACAGUUGGACUUCCAGAUCUUGGGGAGAGGGAUGGGUGCCAGUGAUAGAAAUUGAAUAUAGGCGUCGUCCCUUAGACAUACAUGGCCAAAGCCAUUCGAUGAGCUUCCACAGAGAUACUGUAACAGGGUCAGAGGACAGUUACUAAGGCAGAUCACUAUUUAAAAGUACUCAUUGAAAUAUAAUGAUCAGAGAGCAAUGAGAAAGAUUAGAAAAGUAAGAGAUAAAGUAUAAAAACACAGUACCACUGAAAGUAAAGGAGGAUGAGAGUUUCAAAAUGAGAGUGUUAAACAGGGUCAAAGAAUGCAGAGGCACUGAGUGGGAUAUAAAGAGAGAAAUGUCCACUGAUAGUGGUGAUAGGGAGCCUCUUGAUAUCGUCUAAAGUAGUUUUAGUGGAAUGAUAGAAGCAGCAGCAAAUUGCACUUGGAUGAAGAAUGAAUAAGAAGCAAGAAAACAAGCUAUCUUGUUUAGGCUUCUUGUGGAGGUUGCUUGGAUGAAAAGAAGGAGAGAGAUAGGACUCUUAGGGUAAACAGAGUUCAGAAUUUCAGCACACAUUUUCUCCCUGAGUGGAAGGAGCAUUAGAGAGGGACCAUGGGAGAUACAGAUGAGGAAAUACUCUACUACUGCUAAUCAAAAAAAGUGGAGCAGAUAACAUGUUUAAUCACAUUAUAUGGCAGGCGCUGUAUUAGGCACUUUACAUGAUUUAUUAUUUUUUAAUCCUCAGAUGAAGAUCUCUGAGGUAGUGGAUAAUCAAAAGGAAAGGUUGAAAUUUGUGGAAGUUACAGAGUCAUUAAAAGAAGAUAUAAUAAUAACCUCAAGUAACAAGUAAUACUAGCAGUUACUCUUGGUGAGGAAAGAAAAAUAAUUUCUUGCUUGCAGAUUUACAUUCCAUUAUCUGGAAAAUUUCAAGUAGAACACCUGAUUUAUUUGCAUUGAAUGAUGUGGACCUAUAAUAUUUGGGCAAUAUGUAGUUAUCUGUUGCUUUUCAUGGUAAUGGAGAAAACCAUUGGUAAGGACACACUAAAAUAAUACAUAAUCCAAGCAAUUCUUUUGGUUUUAGAAUACUAUUUCUUUAUUAAAUAUUUUAGAAUACUAUUUGGUAUUCUACUCUUUUGGUUUUAGAAUACUAUUUAUUAAAUAUUUUGCAUCAGACUUCUCUAGCCACAUUCUUCCUAGACAGAUAUUAAAAUUAGCUCACAAUAUAUAAUCACUUACUGCAAAGCCAAGAGGACAAAGGGGUUCUUGGGAAUUUCAAGGAUCUUAAGUUAGAAUGGGGUUAGAUAGAACCUUGUUAACUGCAGACAAAUCAGAUAUCUGAGCAGGGGUUGGGUUUUGGAACCAGAGUUGUUCCCUGAAUUAAAGAAGACCUGAGGAGGGAACUCAAUUCUAGGUGUCACAAGGGAAUAAGGAAAGACACGCUCUGAUAUCAAAACUGAGACACAAUCCAAGGCCAUUAGUCAGGAUGUUGCUGCAAGAGAUUUCACCGAAUCCCUCCUGAACUGGAUGGGAAAAGAGCGUGAGGAAGACGACAUGGCUGAGUAGGCUGGUUGGGCUGGAGAAAUGCUGAAGCCCAGGAGAAUGAAGAGACUGGAAUAAGUGAUGAAAUGACAAGCCGUAGCAGGGAUAACUUUUUGUUUUGUUUAUGAUUCACUGUUUGUAUCAAAUCGAUUUCUGAAUGAUUUGAGACAGCUAAAUCUGCGAUUACAACUUCUGUGCAAGUAAUCAGAUGUUAUGAAUUAAUAUGGUGUUUUCCAUACCGGCAUGAAAGAUAUAGUGGAUAUAGAAUUGAGCCAACAAGAUUAUUUUAACCAAAAGUGAUCCAGUUUAUGGGAGGUUAUUGAUUUCCUUCCACCUGAGAAAUUACUGUACUCUCUUCGAUUACAGAAAAUUCUAGAAUGGCUGAUGAAUAGCCAUCUGACUUUCAAAGUCAUCUACAAAAUGACCGUAUGUUCACAGGUGGUCACUGUGGAGAGAAAACAUCACCUAACUCCCUAAUUCAUCUGCCAAUUCACUCUGUAUCACAAGUGAUCUGUUUACCACAGUGAGAGGGAAAUGGAUGCAGACAUAGGGAGGUGUUUUCUGUCAGGACUGUGUGAACAGGAAACGCCAUGGUCAUGAAACUGUGCUGUCAGAAAGCCUGAUUGUGCAAAGUACCAGGGCUUGACCCCGGUCUAGGUGUGAGGCUCUUCAGGUGGAAAGGCACAGAGGCUUCGAUGCACAUCCUAAUCCUGGCUUAGCCUGAGGAAUCUAUUUUGGGGUAUUUCUAUGUGCUUAGGUUUUUGUGUAGGGAUCCCAAGAAUGAAAGAGACAUGUGAAGACACUUUCACAUCUGGAAAACACCUGAGCCAAGAUGGAAAAGCAUUUGGAUUUUCUUCCGCAAUUGGUUUUACAUAUAUUCUAUCUCUUAAUGUGCUUGAAAGCUAUCAAUAGGCAUAAGUUUCCUUUUUCUUCCACAUUUUAAAACAGUAUCUAGAGCUGUCUUUUACAUGAAGUCAUUUAAAAGAAAAGACCAUUUUCCUAAAACUUAAAAUAAAUGUACUGGAUAUUUCUGUUUUCUGCACUAAGCACAAUUUUUCUUUGCAACCCCUUGUCACGGUUCACAUUCAAAAUGUAAGACACUCUAAAUUCUGCACAACGUUCCCAACAGAAAUGUCUGUGUGACUUACGUUGAAAAUGCAUUAUUCUGCUUUUCACAUCGUAUGCCUUUGCAGCUUAACCCUUUUGUUUCUUCAUAAUAGAAGUACAGCUGAUUUAGGCCAUUUGCAAAUGCUAGCAGCACGAGGCAGUAGAUGAAUAGAAACUUGAGAAUGUCCAGGAGCAUCCUUCCCAGAGAUAUCUGCAGAGGCCCCAGGGGGAAGACGAGCAGCUGGCAUAGCUGUCCUAGAUAAGCUCUGCGAUUCAUAAUUGCCCAGUUCCUCUCCUGUGGUCCAAACUCGUCUCUGUGAAAGGUACCUCUGGCUGUCAUCUGUCCCGCUGUGGGGGCUUGGACCACAGGGAACCAAGGCUGGGACUGUUGUGUAAAUAAUUUGUCUGUUCUCUGACCCAGAAACCUUAUUUCUUCUCAGGAAUAAAUCAAAAUGUAAACA
This is a non-coding RNA of Sus scrofa (pig), 5880 nucleotides long. The record is from RefSeq and is a predicted model, not a curated record. Lineage: Eukaryota; Metazoa; Chordata; Mammalia; Artiodactyla; Suidae.